GAGAGUUGGUGAGGGAGAGAAAAGCAAGGGCUCGAGGCGAAACGCAGAAGCUCUGGUUCGAAGAGUCCUUGGCCGACGAUCUGCUUGUGUGACCGGAAAUGGAGAAAGUUGAUGAAGAGAAAAAGAACGAGGAGAGUCUGAGGUUUGUAAAAAGUAAACUUUAUUUAUGUUUCUGAGAAAAAUGAAAUGUCUGAUACAACGUGCAUAAUCUGUGUUGUUCUCUCUGUUUAAAUGAAGAUAAGGAACUCUAUUUAUAGAGUUCUCGGGGUUAAGGGGGAAAGGGUAACAGAAAAAGGAAAAAACUUAAUUAAUAGUUAACAACCAGGAGCGUGGUUACUGUAUUUGACAGUAAUCCACUAACCACUUUCUUCAAUAGCCUCCCCUCAAGCUGGAUAAUGUAUGGUCAUCAAACCAAGCUUGGGAACAAUGGUCUUGAACCGAACACGAUGUGGAAAUUUUGUAAAAAUGUCAGCUAGUUGCUCGUCGGAGCGAACUGGGAGAAGUCUUAGAGCAUUAGCUUGUAUCUUCUCACGAACUACAUGGCAAUCAAGCUCAAUAUGCUUGGUCCUUUCGUGAAAACUUUGGUUGUGUGCUAUGUGUUUGGCAGAUUUACUGUCACAGUAGAGGGCUGGAGUUCCAACUUGUCGUACUUGUAAAUCAUCCAACAAAUAGUUGAGCCAUUGUAUCUCACAAGUAGUGGCUGUUAUAGCCCUGUAUUCUGCUUCUGUGGAAGAUCUAGAAACUGUGCUUUGUUUUUUUUUAUUUCCAUGAUAUGAGUGAUGAUCCAAGAAAGACACAAAAGCCCGUAGUAGACCUUCUAGUAUUUGGACAUGUUGCCAAGUCUGAAUCACUGAAAGCUUUCAGAUGUAUAGGUGAACCAGCUGGAAAGAACAAUCCUUCUGAUGGUUUAGACUUGAUGUACCUGAGAACAUGUUGAACAGCCCGAAAAUGGAAAUUAGUAGGUGAUUGCAUAAACUGACUAAGUAAGUUAAUUGAGAAGCAUAGAUCGGGUCUAGUGUUAGACAGAUAAAGCAACUUUCCUAUUAACCUUCUAUAGGAGCUUGGAUCCUCUAAGUAGCUCUCCUGUUUGUACAAAGAACUUGUGUCACUUAAGAAGGGAGUGGUGCAUGGCUUGCAGCCCAGCAUCCCUGUUUCCUUAAGGAUAUCUAGAGCAUAUUUUCUCUGAGACAGAUGAACUCCCUUUUUAGAUCUUGCUACCUCAAGGCCAAGAAAAUAUUUGAGUUCUCCUAGGUUCUUUAUGUGAAACCUGUUGUGCAAGAGGUUCUUGACAUGAUUGAUUUCCUCCAUGGAAUUCCCUGCUAGUAUAAUGUCAUCUACAUAGACAAGUAAGGUUGUGAAACUCAUGUUUAUGCUUUUAACAAAAAGAAAAUGGUCUGAUUUUGAUUGCACAUAGCCAACAGAAAUGAGGAAUGUAGACAGUUUUUCAAACCAUUGCCUACUAGCCUGUUUUAGCCCAUAUAGAGAUUUUGUGAGCCUGCAAACUUGACCUGUCUUGCAAGUGUUUAAUCGUGGUGGGGGUUCCAUGUAUACUUCCUCCUUUAAAUCUCCAUGUAGGAAUGCAUUAUCCACAUCCAGCUGGUGCAAAAACCAGUUUUUAGAAGCUGCCAGUGCAAUAAGUAACCUUACUGUGGUCAGCUUAGCAACAAGGGAAAAUGCAUCUAAGAAAUCAAUCCCUUCCUGUUGGGUAUACCCCUUUGCCACAAGGCGAGCUUUAUGUCUUUCCACAGUACCAUCAGCCUUGUACUUGAUUUUAUACACCCAUCUACACCCAAUGGUAGUUUUCCCUGGGGGAAGUUCAGUCAUAAACCAAGUAUUGUUNUCUUCUAAGGCUGCAAUUUCCNUUUGCAUNGCNUCUGCCCACUCNGACACAUCUUUAGCCUCUUUAUANGAUUUUGGCUCGCUGUUUGUAGUUAUAGCCAUAGUGUAUCUUAGAUGUUUCCCUAUCAAAGAUUCACAAGAUAAUGAAUCAGAAAUGGGAUAGGGCGUUUUCAAAUUGUUAUUCAAAGUCAAGGAUUGAUUCACCUGGUGUAUGUAAUCUGCCAAAUAUCCUGGAUGCCUUCUAAUUCUGUCAGACCUUCUGUGUCCAAGGUCUUCCCCACUGCUACUGGCCUGAUCUCCACCAUCACCAUGGUCAUUUUGACUUUGUUCUGCAUUUCUACCUAUAGAUCCUGCACCACUACCAGGAAUAGAGUUGUCCAUAGGAUCAUUGAGAAGAGUCAUUGGAUCAUUUUCUUUGUCAUUAACCUCUGUACUGUUUUGUUGGUCCUUCCAAGGGAAGAUGUUUUCAUAGAAAACAUUUCUGCUUAUGAAUAACUCCCUGGUAUAAAUGUCAAGUACAGUAUAUCCCUUAACUCCACUCUUGUACCCGAGGAAGAUACACUUCCUAGCUCUUGGCUCGAGUUUGUUCCUGCCCCCUUCAAGGGUGGAAGCAAAACAGAGACACCCGAAGGUUUUGAGACUCAAAUAAGUGGGAGGGGUGUCAUAAAUGAGACCAUAUGGGGUUUUCCCAUUAAGUAUGGGAGAGGGCAAUCUAUUUAUGAGGUAAACAGCAUGGCUGGCAGCAUAAGACCAAUAAGCAGUGGGUAAAUUAGAUUGAAACAUAAGACUACGAGUCACAUUAAGGAUAUGUUGGUGUUUUCGUUCCACCGCAGAGUUUUGCUGAGGAGUCUCAACACAACUAGUUUGGUGAUUGAUCCCAUAGGAAUUAUACAAAUCAACACAGUUGAAUUCAGGGUCGUUAUCUGUCCUAACGGUUCUAAUCAUCUUACCAAAUUGAUUCUUAAUUUUAACAAGGAAAUUCUGCAGCAGACUUCUAGUUUGUCCCUUAUUGUUCAUUAAAAAUAUUCAUGUGUGUCGGCUAUAAUCAUCAACAAUAGUAAGGAAGUACUUGUGCCCAUGAACAGAGGAAACAGAAAACGGACCCCAUAUAUCACAAUGAAUAAGAUCAAAACAUUCAGCAGAUAAAGAAACACUUAUAGGAAAUGGCAAUUUAUGUUGUUUAGCAUAGUGACAAACAUCACAAACAACAUUAGUAUUCAUUUGUAGAUAAGGGAAAUGUUCACAUAUUUGUUUUACAACUUUUUGUCUAGGGUGGCCUAGCUUGUAGUGUCACAAAUUAAUGUCAACAUGUUUAAAAGAGAAAACAGAUUUAGAAACAAAAUUUUGAUCAGGUCUGGUAAAAUCUUGUAGAUAGUAUAGGCCUUUGUGAGGGCUAGCACACCCAAUCAUCUUCAAUGUAGAAUUCUCCCUUAUCUGACAAUCCUUAGAAGAAAAGGUUAGAUUGCAAUUUAAGUCUUUUGUAAGACUUUGAACUGAGAUUAGAUUGAAUGAAAAAUCAGGAAUGUAUAAGACAUUAAAGAGGACAAAAUUUUCAGAAAAUUGGACUGUCCCUGCAUAUCUAGCUGUAAUAACAGUAUUAUUAGGCAACCUUACAGUGAUGAGUUUAAUUUUAUAGAAAGUUGUAAAAUUUUCUUUUUCAUGGGUCACAUGAUCUGUGGCCCCAGUAUCAAUAAUCCAAGAGAAAGUACCUGGAUCAUCUUCUUCAUUAUUGCUUUGUAUGUGGUUGAUAUUGUGCCUAGGCUCGUUAGCUUUCUCAAUCAUUUUGAGAAGCUUUUGCAUUUGUUCUGGAGUCAAUGAACUCAAGGCAGUAGUGGUGUUAUUCUUCUGAUCUGUUUUUGGUCCAGUAGUGCUUUGGCAAGCAUUAGUUGAACUCCAGCCUCCCCUUGCUUCAGAACUCCCGUCAGCCUUUUUAUACCAGGGUGGAUAGCCAUGCUUAGAAUAGCAUUCAUCUAUAGUGUGGUUCAUCUUGUUGCAGUAUGAGCAUUGUUUCCCAUAGUUAGGAUUUCUGCCUCUUCCCCUUCCCUGUCCAGAACCACGACCUUGGUUUUUCCAGGUCUGGUCUCCUUUCCAAUUGCUGCUGCCUUUGUUAUUCACAGUAGCAAGGACUUUUGUUGUUUCAGUAAGUUGAGUGUAGGAAAUACCAGACCUUUCUUGUCUUUCUUGCUGUAUAAUAAGAGAAAAUACUCUUUUUAUGCCUGGAAGGGGUUCCAUUAAAAGGAGUUGUGCGAACAGUGCUGUAAGUGUCAUUGAGGCCCUUUAGAAAGCAUAUGACGUGUUCAAUCUUCCUGUACUUCAGAGAGAUCUUGGAGAGCUCACAGCUGCAGGGGACUUUGCAGGUGCAGUUGGGUAUGGGUCUAAGGGAUUCCAGUUCUUCCCAAAGGAUUUUCAGAUCAGUAAAAUAUUGGUUGACACUCCUUUCUCCUUGUUUGAUUGAGUGGAUAUCUUGGAGGAGAUCUGAUAUUUUAAAAUAGUCUCCCUUAGAGAAUCUUUCUCUUAAUUCAUCCCACAAUUCCUUUGCUUCUUCAACAUAUAUCACACUUUCUGCAAUUUGGGGAGAAAAUGUCUUAAUGAUCCAUGAGAGCACCAUCAUAUUGCAUCUCUCCCAUGAAUCAAACAGUUCUUCAGUUUUGUUGGGUUUCUUGAUUGACCCAUCAAUAAAUUUGAGCUUGUUCUUGGAAAGGAGUGCCCUUUUCAUACUUCUACUCCAAGAAGAGUAGUUAGUUUCAUUUAGGACCUGAGAAAUCAAUGUCAAGCCUGGAUUUUCUCAAGGAUGUAGGUAGUAGGGGCUGACAGGAUUGUUGGUUAGGUUGAGUUUUUCUUCUGUCAUCUUGAUACCAGAAUCAAGAAGCUUCAAGAAAUUCAAGCAAGAAGUAUCAAGAAUCAAGGAUUAGCAGCGGAAGUGAUGAUCAGCUCUUGAUACCAUAAAAGAAUUGGGCCGACCCAGGUCCAGGCCCAAUUCCAGAGUCAGAAACAAUAAGUGAGAAGAGUCUCACUCUUUCAUUACACUUGUCAGAGAGUUGGUGAGGGAGAGAAAAGCAAGGGCUCAAGGCGAAACGCAGAAGCUCUGGUUCGAAGAGUCCUUGGCCGGCGAUCUGCUUGUGUGACCGAAAAUGGAGAAAGUUGAUGAAGAGAAAAAGAACGAGGAGAGUCUGAGGUUAGUAAAAAGUAAACUUUAUUUAUGUUUAUAUGAAAAAUGAAAUGUCUGAUACAACGUG
Molecule: long non-coding RNA, 5075 nt
Filed under: Vigna radiata
Lineage: Eukaryota; Viridiplantae; Streptophyta; Magnoliopsida; Fabales; Fabaceae
Description: long non-coding RNA (VRAD_LNC017967)
Source: RNAcentral